Molecule: ribosomal RNA, 416 nt
Filed under: uncultured bacterium
Lineage: Bacteria
Description: bacterial SSU rRNA
Rfam family: Bacterial small subunit ribosomal RNA
Source: RNAcentral
GGAAUCUUGGGCAAUGGGCGCAAGCCUGACCCAGCCACGCCGCGUGGAGGAAGACACCCCUAUGGGGCGUAAACUCCUUUUCUACGGGAAGAAGGCUUUCCUCUGGAAGGAUUGACGGUACCGUAUGAAUAAGCACCGGCUAACUCCGUGCCAGCAGCCGCGGUAAUACGGAGGGUGCAAGCGUUGUCCGGAUUCACUGGGUGUAAAGGGUGUGUAGGCGGGGCGGUAAGUCAGAGGUGAAAGCCCGCGGCUUAACCGUGGAAUUGCCUUUGAUACUGCCGUUCUUGAGUCUCGGAGAGGUCGCCGGAAUUCGUGGUGUAGCGGUGAAAUGCGUAGAUAUCACGAGGAACACCAGAGGCGUAGGCGGGCGACUGGACGAGAACUGACGCUGAGGCACGAAAGCGUGGGGAGCAAAC